UGGUGUCCGAGUUCCAGCGUCACCAACUCGGAAGCCCGAUGACGGAUGCCGUGGGCGAUAUAGUCUCCAGAGAUAUUAAGGAUACCGCCUCCAUCUAGGACACCGCGGACGAUGAUGUGGGUAUGCGGANNNNNNNNNNUUGUAAUGAUCGAUCGCGAUCCAAUCGAGACGCGUCUCCAGGUCCGUCUCCAUCUGUCGCA
This 200-nucleotide unclassified non-coding RNA is filed under the name Hevea brasiliensis (rubber tree). Lineage: Eukaryota; Viridiplantae; Streptophyta; Magnoliopsida; Malpighiales; Euphorbiaceae. The record is from RNAcentral.